AGAUGAGAUCUCACUGGGAUCUUGAAUCCCCUGAAGGGCCGUCGAAGACUACGACGUUGAUAGGUUGGGUGUGUAAGCGCUGUGAGGCGUUGAGCUAACCAAUACUAAUUGCCCGUGAGGCUUGACCAUAUAACACCCAAGCAAUU
Molecule: ribosomal RNA, 146 nt
Filed under: Pseudomonas putida
Lineage: Bacteria; Pseudomonadati; Pseudomonadota; Gammaproteobacteria; Pseudomonadales; Pseudomonadaceae
Description: partial 23S ribosomal RNA
Rfam family: Bacterial large subunit ribosomal RNA (bases 1-129)
Source: RNAcentral